GACGAACGCUGGCGGCGUGCUUAACACAUGCAAGUCGAACGGUGAGCCUCUUCGGAGGGGCUCAGUGGCGAACGGGUGAGUGACACGUGGGCAACCUGCCCCCGGCUCUGGGAUAACUCCAAGAAAUUGGGGCUAAUACCGGAUGUCCACCUCUUCCCGCAUGGGUGGGGGUGGAAAGGGUUUCCGGCUGGGGAUGGGCCCGGGGCCUAUCAGCUUGUUGGUGGGGUAGUGGCAUACCAAGGCGCCGACUGGUAGCCGGCCUGAGGGGGUGACCGGCGACACUGGGCCUGAGACAGGGACCAGACUCCUACGGGAGGCAGCAGUGGGAAAUAUUGCGCAAUGGGCGGAAGCCUAACGCAGCGACGCCGCGUGGGGGAUGACGGCCUUCGGGUUGUAAACCUCUUUCAGCAGGGACGAAGCGCAAGUGACGGUACCUGCAGAAGAAGCACCGGCCAACUACGUG
This 463-nucleotide ribosomal RNA is filed under the name uncultured bacterium. RNAcentral describes it as "partial 16S ribosomal RNA". It matches the Rfam family "Bacterial small subunit ribosomal RNA", at positions 28 to 507 of the family's 1533-position model. The record is from RNAcentral.